RNAcentral lists this long non-coding RNA (348 nucleotides) under Rhinopithecus bieti (black snub-nosed monkey). RNAcentral describes it as "lncRNA (ENSRBIG00000046459.1)". The record is from RNAcentral. Lineage: Eukaryota; Metazoa; Chordata; Mammalia; Primates; Cercopithecidae.
AAGUUGAGACAAAUGGAGGAAUGUUUGUACUGGGCCCAGGAAGUUGAGACAAAUGGAGGAAUGUUUGUACUGGGCCCAGGAAGUUGAGACAAAUGGAGGAAUGUGUUUGUACUGGGCCCAGGACUGAGAUAUAUGUUUGAUUUCUUACAGUGGAGGUUGCAGUGAGCUGAGAUCCUGACAUUGCACUCCAGCGUGGGCACAGAGUGAAACUCCGUCUUGAAAAAACAAAACAAAACUGGAGUUUUGGAAGACGGAACAUCUAAGAUGAUCACAUGUCCUACAAAAGAAACAUCUACAAAACAGCUGAUUGGCAUUGGAAACCCAGUUCUUUUUUUUUUUUUUUUUUUU